GACGAACGCUGGCGGCGUGCCUAAUACAUGCAAGUAGAACGCUGAAGAGAGGAGCUUGCUCUUCUUGGAUGAGUUGCGAACGGGCGAGUAACGCGUAGGUAACCUGCCUUGUGGCGGGGGAUAACUAUUGGAAACGAUAGCUAAUACCGCAUAACAAUGGAUGACACAUGUCAUUUAUUUGAAAGGGGCAAUUGCUCCACUACAAGAUGGACCUGCGUUGUAUUAGCUAGUAGGUGAGGUAAUGGCUCACCUAGGCGACGAUACAUAGCCGACCUGAGAGGGUGAUCGGCCACACUGGGACUGAGACACGGCCCAGACUCCUACGGGAGGCAGCAGUAGGGAAUCUUCGGCAAUGGGGGCAACCCUGACCGAGCAACGCCGCGUGAGUGAAGAAGGGUUUCGGAUCGUAAAGCUCUGUUGUAAGUCAAGAACGGGUGUGAGAGUGGAAAGUUCACACUGUGACGGUAGCUUACCAGAAAGGGACGGCUAACUACGUG
RNAcentral lists this ribosomal RNA (497 nucleotides) under uncultured bacterium. RNAcentral's name for it is "partial 16S ribosomal RNA". It matches the Rfam family "Bacterial small subunit ribosomal RNA", at positions 28 to 507 of the family's 1533-position model. The record is from RNAcentral.